This 413-nucleotide ribosomal RNA is filed under the name uncultured bacterium. Its description in RNAcentral is "bacterial SSU rRNA". It matches the Rfam family "Bacterial small subunit ribosomal RNA", at positions 27 to 432 of the family's 1533-position model. The record is from RNAcentral.
GGGUGAACGCUGGCGGCGUGGAUAAGGCAUGCAAGUCGAGCGAUCCCGCAAGGGAUAGCGGCAAACGGGUGAGUAACACGUAGGUAACCUACCCUGAAAUGUGGGAUAACCUGACGAAAGACAGGCUAAUACCACAUGUGCUCUAGUGGUCGCAUGAUCGCUAGAGGAAAGGUAGCCUCGACCCGCAAGGUUGCUAUCGUUUCAGGAGGGACCUGCGUCCCAUCAGCUAGUUGGUAGGGUAACGGCCUACCAAGGCAUUUGACGGUAGCUAGCCUUAGAGGGCGGUUAGCCACACUGGGACUGAGACACUGCCCAGACUCCUACGGGAGGCUGCAGUCGAGGNUAUUUGGCAAUGGACGAAAGUCUGACCAUGCGACGCCGCGUGCAGGAUGAAGGCCUUCGGUCGUAACUAG